This 497-nucleotide ribosomal RNA is filed under the name uncultured bacterium. RNAcentral describes it as "partial 16S ribosomal RNA". It matches the Rfam family "Bacterial small subunit ribosomal RNA", at positions 28 to 507 of the family's 1533-position model. The record is from RNAcentral.
GAUGAACGCUGGCGGCGUGCCUAAUACAUGCAAGUCGAGCGAACGGACGAGAAGCUUGCUUCUCUGAUGUUAGCGGCGGACGGGUGAGUAACACGUGGAUAACCUACCUAUAAGACUUGGAUAACUUCGGGAAACCGGAGCUAAUACCGGAUAAUAUUUUGAACCGCAUGGUUCAAAAGUUAAAGACGGUUUUGCUGUCACUUAUAGAUGGAUCCGCGCUGCAUUAGCUAGUUGGUAAGGUAACGGCUUACCAAGGCAACGAUGCAUAGCCGACCUGAGAGGGUGAUCAGCCACACUGGAACUGAGACACGGUCCAGACUCCUACGGGAGGCAGCAGUAGGGAAUAUUCCGCAAUGGGCGAAAGCCUGACGGAGCAACGCCGCGUGAGUGAUGAAGGUCUUCGGAUCGUAAAACUCUGUUAUUAGGGAAGAAAAUAUGUGUAAGUAACUGUGCACAUCUUGACGGUACCUAAUCAGAAAGCCACGGCUAACUACGUG